AGCAGACCCAAUGAAAGGUGAAAGCUCUUUGGCUAGAAUGGCUCCUCAGAGUUGUUCUGAGUUGGGUUGAGAUGGCCAGGAUUGUAUACCCUUGUAUCAAUCAGUCAUUGGAUGUGGGCCACUUUGGGAAAGGACGUGAUCUUGGACAAGACAGUGUUCUGCUUCUAACAAUCCCUGAGUAGUGUGACAGCUAACGGCUGUCUGCUGACAGCAUUUUCAGAAUCAGACCCAUGUGGAUGAGGAGCGGGUGAGGAAGGCAUUGGAGUAGAAGGUGGAGCAGCUGAAGGCCGUCUUCAUCAAAACAUCUACUGCAUCCUGUAUGGCUGUUCUCACCUAGGCUUCCUCCUUGAACACGGAGGACACCUUCAGGAAGGCGGAGACCACCUUCUCCGGGUGGCAGG
Long non-coding RNA from Bos taurus (domestic cattle), 401 nucleotides. The record is from Ensembl. Lineage: Eukaryota; Metazoa; Chordata; Mammalia; Artiodactyla; Bovidae.